Molecule: ribosomal RNA, 392 nt
Filed under: uncultured bacterium
Lineage: Bacteria
Description: bacterial SSU rRNA
Rfam family: Bacterial small subunit ribosomal RNA
Source: RNAcentral
GACGAACGCUGGCGGCGUGCUUAACACAUGCAAGUGGAGCGGUAAGGCCCUUUCGGGGGUACACGAGCGGCGAACGGGUGAGUAACACGUGGGUGACCUGCCCUUAGCUCUGGGAUAAGCCUGGGAAACUGGGUCUAAUACCGGAUAUGACUCCAUGACGCAUGUUGUGGGGUGGAAAGCCUUGUGCGGCUAGGGAUGGGCCCGCGGCCUAUCAGCUUGUUGGUGGGGUGAUGGCCACCAAGGCGACGACGGGUAGCCGGCCUGAGAGGGCGACCGGCCACACUGGGACUGAGACACGGCCCAGACUCCUACGGGAGGCAGCAGGUGGGGAAUCUUGCGCAAUGGGGACGAAAGCCUGACGCAGCGACGCCGCGUGAGGGAUGACGGCCUGG